AGAGUUUGAUCCUGGCUCAGGAUGAACGCUGGCGGCGUGCUUAAUACAUGCAAGUCGAACGCUGAAGCUGACUAGCUUGCUAGUUAGUGGAUGAGUGGCGAACGGGUGAGUAAUACGUAGGUAACCUGCCCUAAAGUGGGGGAUAGCAGUUGGAAACGACUAUUAAUACCCCAUAGGUAAUUGAAUGGCAUCUUUCAAUUAUUAAAGACGCGUUUGCGUCGCUGUAGGAUGGACUUACGGUGCAUUAGCUUGUUGGUGAGGUAACGGCUCACCAAGGCGAUGAUGCAUAGCCGGCCUGAGAGGGUGAACGGCCACAUUGGGACUGAGACACGGCCCAGACUCCUACGGGAGGCAGCAGUAAGGAAUUUUCGGCAAUGGGCGAAAGCCUGACCGAGCAACGCCGCGUGAGUGAUGAAGGUCUUCGGAUCGUAAAGCUCUGUUGUAAAGGAAGAACUGAUACUUGAGGAAAUGCUAGUAUCUUGACGGUACUUUACUAGAAAGUCACGGCUUACUACGUGCCAGCAGCCGCGGUAAUACGUAGGUGGCAAGCGUUAUCCGGAUUUAUUGGGCGUAAAGGGUGCGCAGGCGGUCUGUUAAGUUUGAGGUGAAAGCGUUGGGCUCAACCCAAUCAAGCCUUGAAUACUGGCAGACUUGAGUGCAGAAGAGGGUAUUGGAAUUCCAUGUGUAGCGGUAAAAUGCAUAGAUAUAUGGAGGAACACCGGUGGCGAAGGCGGAUACCUGGUCUGUAACUGACGCUCAGGCACGAAAGCGUGGGGAGCAAAUAGGAUUAGAUACCCUAGUAGUCCACGCCCUAAACGAUGAGAACUAAGUGUUGGAGCAAUUCAGUGCUGUCGUUAACGCAAUAAGUUCUCCGCCUGAGGAGUAUGCACGCAAGUGUGAAACUUAAAGGAAUUGACGGGGCCCCGCACAAGCGGUGGAGUAUGCGGUUUAAUUCGACGCAACGCGAAGAACCUUACCAGGCCUUGACAUCCCUUGCAAAACUAUAGAGAUAUAGCAGAGGUUAUCAAGGUGACAGGUGGUGCAUGGUUGUCGUCAGCUCGUGUCGUGAGAUGUUGGGUUAAGUCCCGCAACGAGCGCAACCCUUAUUGCUAGUUGCUACGCAAGAGCACUCUAGCGAGACUGCCGUUGACAAAACGGAGGAAGGCGGGGACGACGUCAAAUCAUCAUGCCCCUUAUGUCCUGGGCUACACACGUAAUACAAUGGCGAUCAACAAAGGGAAGCAAAGCCGCGAGGCAGAGCAAAUCCCCAAAAGUCGUCUCAGUUCGGAUCGUGGGCUGCAACCCGCCCACGUGAAGUCGGAAUUGCUAGUAAUCGCGGAUCAGCAUGCCGCGGUGAAUACGUUCCCGGGCCUUGUACACACCGCCCGUCACACCAUGAGAGUCGGGAACACCCGAAGUCCGUAGUCUAACCGCAAGGAGGGCGCGGCCGAAGGUGGGCUUGAUAAUUGGGGUGAAGUCGUAACAAGGUAACCGUA
RNAcentral lists this ribosomal RNA (1496 nucleotides) under uncultured rumen bacterium. Its description in RNAcentral is "bacterial SSU rRNA". It matches the Rfam family "Bacterial small subunit ribosomal RNA". The record is from RNAcentral.